This 496-nucleotide ribosomal RNA is filed under the name uncultured bacterium. RNAcentral describes it as "partial 16S ribosomal RNA". It matches the Rfam family "Bacterial small subunit ribosomal RNA", at positions 28 to 506 of the family's 1533-position model. The record is from RNAcentral.
GAUGAACGCUGGCGGCGUGCCUAAUACAUGCAAGUCGAGCGAACAGACGAGGAGCUUGCUCCUCUGACGUUAGCGGCGGACGGGUGAGUAACACGUGGAUAACCUACCUAUAAGACUGGGAUAACUUCGGGAAACCGGAGCUAAUACCGGAUAAUAUAUUGAACCGCAUGGUUCAAUAGUGAAAGACGGUUUUGCUGUCACUUAUAGAUGGAUCCGCGCCGCAUUAGCUAGUUGGUAAGGUAACGGCUUACCAAGGCAACGAUGCGUAGCCGACCUGAGAGGGUGAUCGGCCACACUGGAACUGAGACACGGUCCAGACUCCUACGGGAGGCAGCAGUAGGGAAUCUUCCGCAAUGGGCGAAAGCCUGACGGAGCAACGCCGCGUGAGUGAUGAAGGUCUUCGGAUCAUAAAACUCUGUUAUUAGGGAAGAACAAAUGUGUAAGUAACUAUGCACGUCUUGACGGUAACUAAUCAGAAAGCCACGGCUAACUACGU